CGCCUGGGCCACGCUGGCUUCACUAGCUCUCCCUUUACUAGCUUUCUCUGGCAGGCCGUAACCCGGAAGUUGCCUGAAACACUUCUGCUCACAUCGGCUGACCUGAGUUCAGCCUUUGGCCACGGAGCUGCAGGGAAAGCCAGAAACAGAGUCUCUGGAUGGCUGGCCACGUUCCCAAGUAAAACUUGGGGACAGAAUCAAUUAGCAGUCCAUGCACAGUCCCCUCGGCUGCCCUGCGUCCACGCGGUGUGUCAGCUCACUCGUCUCCUCUAUUAAAUUUUGCUCUCACGUGGUAUCUCUAGUCCGCCUUCUAGGGGUUGUGGCAAAUAUGUACUGCUUCUCGAAAGAUUUAGUAAGUGUAACCCUUACUCCUAAAAUUAUAACUUCCAUGGCCCAGAUCUCGACUACCGGUGAGCACAAAUAUUCACUCAUUCACUCAUUCAUUCCUCAGCUGCUUACUGACCACCUGAACUAGGGGAGGACAGAGCCCACAGAGAGCUGAAGGAGGAGGACACCAGGCGGCGGGAGCAGGACGCGAGAGUGCCUGGAGGGGUUCAGGACUGGUGUGGCUGCUGAGGAGCGAGUGAUGGGCUGGAGAUGACUUUGGAAAGGUGCUGGGAGACCAGAGCAUGGAGGGCCUCGAAGGCCAUUGUCAACUCAAAACCCUUCACUCUGGUUUUCCUGGGAAGCCUUUGGAGGGUUUGAGCAGAGCAGUGACUUGAUUGAUUUAUCUUCUCAGAGGACCAUCUGGUUGCCAUGUCGAGGACUGACUGCAGGUUGCAAGGAUGCAAAUACAGAGACCAGCCAGGAGGCUACUGCACUGAUCUGGGCAGGAGGUAUGGUAGCCUGGACCAGGGCCGUAGCAGAGGAAGGUCAGAAUCUGGCUAUGUUGAAGAGAGAGCUUAUAGGGAUUGCUGAUUGUUUAGAUAUCGGGUUUGAGAGAAAGAGAUGAGUCAAGGAUGACUCCUAGAGUUUUAGUCUGAGCACCGAACUACAAGGAUAGAAGUACUAUCGGUUGAAGUGGGGAACAUUGUGGGAGGAGCAUACUGGGGGAGAAAGACCAGAGAUUGCGGUUUGGGCACACUAUAUAUGAGAUGUUUAUUAAAUAUCCAAAUGGAGGCAUUAAGAAGGCCAUUGAAUAUGUGAGUCUGGAGUUCAGGGGAGAGGUUCAGGCUGGAGAAGUAAAUCCAGAUAAAUUGGGGAAGGGUUAGCAUCUUGGUGGCAUUCUGAGUCUGGAGCUGGACAUGCCACAAGCUAGACAUGUGGUGCAAUUGUACUUCGUGGUCCCCUGCAACGGGGUGGGACCAGGUCUGCUUCUGACCUUUGACCGCUGAGUAGAAACAGUGUGGACCAUUCCCAGGCCCACGUUCUGUGCUACCGAGCCCGGCAACCCCUCAGCUGCUCUGUCACCCGGCACCCAAGACUGGGGACAAGACAGAGCGCAAGCCCCGAGGUCCGUGGUGGACUCGGGGCCUGAGUGAGAGAGAAACCUCGUUGUUUUAAGUCACUUUGUUUUUGGAGUUAUUACUCCAACUCAUCCAGCCUGUCCUGAUGGACAGAGACAUCCACAUGGGUUUAGAUGCUCUGGAGAAUGGUCAGAUGAUGGCGUCUGCAAUCAGGAGUAGGGAGUUAGGUAUUUUAGAGAUUUAUUUUACAGUUUGGUCUGGGAAAUACUUCCAUUUUCCAAACUGAAAUGAAGAGAAGCUAACUGGAAGUUGAGAAAAUUGUUCUUUAAAUAACGUAUAUCGGGCCGGCCCCAUGGCCCAGUGGGUAAGUUCACGCGCUCCACUUUGGCGGCCUGGAGUUUCACUGGUUCAGAUCCUGGGUGCAGACAUGGCACCACUCAUCAGGCCACGCUGAGGUGGCAUCCCACACAGCACAACCAGAGGGACCUACAACCAGAAUCUACAACUACAUACUGGGGAAGGCUUCAGGGAGAAGAAGAAGAAGAAGAAGAAAAAAAAAGACUGGCAAUAGAUGUUAGUUCAGGUGCCAAUCUUUAAAAUAAAUAAAUAAAUAACAUCUAUUUCACUAGCUGCAUGGGAAUGGCUUGUUCAUAAAAUCCUCGAAUGCUCAGUGCCUUCUGAAUGCCUUUCUCAUCAGCAGCCCCCCAGCUUUAGAAUGCUAUUGACCUCUCUAUCAGUGGCCUGCUUUGAAAAAAAUUCUAUAUCAAAAUCUAUCUAUAUAUCUGCAUCUGUAUCUACACAUACGCCUCUCUCUGUCUCUCUCUAACUGUAUCUGCAUCUAUAUAUCUGUAUUUGCAGCCAUACCCGUACCCACCCAUCUACAAACUGCGUCUGUGGGUGUUGGUUAUUUCCAUUUAUCCUUAGACAAGUCGUCCAUACUAAACUCUGGUGCUGCCUGAGGCCAUUGGGAUGCCUGGAAAGUCUAACCGUGGCUCAGCCCUAUGUAGAAAGUUCGCAGCAGGUCAGAAUUCACAGCCAGCCCCGGUUAAGCUUCUGAUUCGGCCUUGAACAUCCCAACAGCAAAGUCUUACGGCAUGUGGCAAACUCGAGUCGGGGAUUCGGGAGGAAACAUUGCACAGGUGGUCCCGCCCGAUUAGGACUUCUGGUGCCGCGGUUAUGAUCUGGACCUUGGGGCAAUUCCAGGUGAAGAGCUCUGCACCCCCAAGGGCCUGAGCUGGGCCUGUGCUCACAGUAGACGCGGCAGCCACGUUAACGGGGACUUAACCCAGGGUGCACGUGUGCUGGCCUGGGCUCCACUCGCACCUCCACAAGGGCCCCUCGAGGAGCCUGCCCACGUCACUGGCUCUCAAGUGGCCGAGCCUCCAGAGCUGCGUGCGUCCCAGCCCCUCAGUGCCACCUCCCUGGGCGCCCAGCUCCUUCCUCCUGCUCAUUUCUGCUUCUCCGAGGAGCCUUGUUUGGUUCUCCACGCAGAGGUAAGCUGUUACGAAAUUUAUUUAAGCUUAUGUACAUGCUAUUUCUAAAAAGAAACCAUAGCAUCCCUCCCACUUUCUACAGGAAACGUUUUUUGGGAAAGCUAACAUUGCCUCUGCCCCUUUCCACUGUGCGCAGCAGAUGCUCUGACGGUGACCGUGACCAGCUGGCCCUGCUGAGCCUCGCCUGGGGGCUGGGGGCUCUCGUGCGUUCUUUCUCAGUGAGUCUCACGGUAACCCUCAGAGAUGGUCCUCGUCCCAUUUGCCACGCGGGAAAACAGAAGUGCAGAGUGUGAACAGCCUGCUCAGCAUCUCACGAGGCGUAAGGACCGAGCUAGGAGGCAGCCUAGUUUAUCUGACUCCAAACUGUCCAUAGCAUGGCUGAUGGUGCUUGAAGCAGAAGUCGAGGGUGGCAGAGCAGAGGCUCUUCGCACCAUGUGUCCCAGCACAGUCCCUGGAAGACCGGGGCCACUGGGCACCUAACUGCAUCUGAAAGACUUAGCUGAAUCCUCACCUGUUAUGAUUCACAGUGAGCAACGCCAAACAACCUCACUGCAUGUGGGAAGUCGAAUUUGUAGGGUGUUUGUUAAAAGGCGACAGCUGGUCUCCAGCCCCUGCUCCCUGUCUUUCUCAUGAAAACAAAACCAAAAGGGGCAUCCAAACACCCUUUCAAUAUGGUGGGGGCCUAUGCUGGGCUUCUAGCCAUGGCUUCUCCAAGCAUCUUAUCACACCCUCCUGAACGCCUCUCUAGCCUCUCCCUCUGCCCCAGGGCAUUUGCACUUGCCAGGUGGGACAGCCUGCCUUAACCACGCAGCAGCUGCCAACGCAGAGCCAGGACCUAACCACAAAACCCUGCCACUCACCACCAAUUAGCUCUGUUUUCUGUAUAAACACUGCUACUUGAAGAAAAAUAUAGCCUCCCAAAGUGCAAAACUCUUUUCCUCUCCCCCCUUGCCCCCAACAGGUGAGAGAUGCUGGGUGUCCUUGCUCUGCCUGAAAAACGGUGGGACUUGCUACUUUCUUUCUCGCAAUUGCCUCUUCACCAAGGCCACCAGGAGCCCAGCUGCUGAGUCAGGGCCUAGGCUUGAUUCUCCAGAGGCAGAAGGCAGGGAAUGAAUGAGGACAAUGAUCCUAUUCUCUACGCUCUUUCUGGCUGACUUUUUUUGUGGUGGUGGCUGGAGUCUGUGACAACAGUCUGCAAACAGCACAUGUUGGCAUGUUUCACGUUGGCUGCCUCCUCCCAUCGUGAGUGCCCAGCCCUUGCGCUUUCUUUGUUGAAAAGGAAAAAAAGAUCAUACUUAAGCAAAAGUAAACCACAGCCUGAUCCUGUGCCAACAACAUUAACCAACUUCUCGUCAGCGCCUUUGAAGUCAGCGGGGGGCGACAUGCUUGUGGUGCAAGGAAAGAAUGAUACUUUAAGCGAUUCCUUUUCAUCCCUUUAACUUAAUGAAAGAUUAAUGGCCUUGUUAUUUUUGUUUCUGCUCCAUUUUUCCCCCCUUUUUUUCUUCCCCCCCCUUGUUGAAAUUGAAAAUCCUGCCCUACAAUGGUUUUCUGGAUCAUUGGGUUUUGUGAAUACAACUCCUACCCCUUCACCACCAUCUGCGAGCUGGACCACCUACUCAAGUCCAAAACAUCCAGGUGUCCGCGGAGGAGGAGCUCGUGGUGAACAGGCGGAUGGUGGCGGCACAGAACUGGAUCUUAUUCAAACAAACCUCCUUGGAAACAGGCUGGAAUACCUUGGCAGCGAAUUCUUUUCUUUCCCUGGAAGACUCGGUGUUGUGUUUGCUGGCACCCUCUUGGGAGGCCUGCCGUGGAUGAUCAGGAGGUGAUGGCACAUCACGGGCCCAGUGAAGUGUGCUGG
Molecule: long non-coding RNA, 4757 nt
Filed under: Equus caballus (horse)
Lineage: Eukaryota; Metazoa; Chordata; Mammalia; Perissodactyla; Equidae
Description: lncRNA (ENSECAG00000049379.1)
Rfam family: mir-616 microRNA precursor family (bases 642-729)
Source: RNAcentral